GACAUAGGUUGCGAGCGUUAUCCGGAAUUAUUGGGCGUAAAGGGUGCGUAGGUGGUUUGUUAAGUUAUCCGUGGCAAAUCGGGGCUCAACCUCGUGGAAGCUGGUAAUACUGUCAUACUCGAGUGCAGGAGAAGUUAACGGAACUCUAUAUGGAGCGGUAAAAUGUGACGAUAUAUAGAAGAACACCAAUAAGGCGAAGGCAGUUAACUAUUCUGUUACUGACAUUGAGGCAUGAAAGCGUGGGGAGCAAAACGG
Molecule: ribosomal RNA, 255 nt
Filed under: uncultured bacterium
Lineage: Bacteria
Description: partial 16S ribosomal RNA
Rfam family: Bacterial small subunit ribosomal RNA
Source: RNAcentral